Trichonephila clavipes is the source of this 73-nucleotide non-coding RNA. The record is from the annotation of a GenBank genome assembly. NCBI's taxonomy places the organism in Eukaryota, Metazoa, Arthropoda, Arachnida, Araneae, Nephilidae.
GUCCCUGUAGGGUAAUGGAUAACGCGUAAGACUUUUAAUCUAAAGGUCGUGGAUUCGAAUCCCACCUGGGAUG